UCCGCACUGACCGGAGGCGGCUCCGGCGGGGACCCUCCGACGGUCAAGUCAGAGAGGAGACUAGGCAACAGUGAGAAGAAAGCAAAGAACUCAACGAGAGAGAGAGGGCAAGCCUGCGAGUUUUUCCCCGAGCCUCUGGCACUGUAGCCUUCUCCGAUAUAUAUAGUGGAGCGUAGUAUGGCGCCGUCAUUAAUGGCGCAGACAAUUGAGGAAUUGUCAACUCACUGUAGACUGUCAGAGUCGCCGUGAAAGUGU
This 255-nucleotide long non-coding RNA is filed under the name Elaeis guineensis (African oil palm). RNAcentral describes it as "long non-coding RNA (EGUI_LNC025153)". The record is from RNAcentral. Lineage: Eukaryota; Viridiplantae; Streptophyta; Magnoliopsida; Arecales; Arecaceae.